AUUCCUUUUCUGGAUGUGUAGUGAAUUACAGCUCAGUGCCAGACCAGACAUUAAUGAGAGAUGAUCUGUGCUUCGAGGAGUUGUGGGAAAAGAGCUCCUGCAGAAAGCACAGGCCUUCCUUCACUGCACGAGCAUGACAGAUGUGUCCAAAAUGACCCCGGAUCAGUUUAUCAGGCCUCUGAAGAAUACGCAACACACCCUUGAUUUGGAAUAUAUUCUCUUAUAGUUGAUAUUUAAUACUGACUGACUAGAUUACUGACAAAAAUGUAGCUGUUGGAUAGCUGGGGCCUGUUGUGAAGCUGGCACAAGAGCUACCGGUCUUCAAUCUGUCCUCCUUCUCAUCUCAUAACCCUCUCCAAAAAAACCCUGUUGUUGAAAGAUGGGGUCAUCCAUCCAGUCACCAGCAUGAAGUCUCACAGAUCACCAAAAGAAGAGAGGGUACUGAACAAGGCCAACACAGCUGUUA
Cyprinus carpio carpio is the source of this 466-nucleotide long non-coding RNA. The record is from Ensembl. NCBI's taxonomy places the organism in Eukaryota, Metazoa, Chordata, Actinopteri, Cypriniformes, Cyprinidae.